GAUGAAGAACGUAGCGAAAUGCGAUAAGUAAUGUGAAUUGCAGAAUUCAGUGAAUCAUCGAAUCUUUGAACGCACAUUGCGCCCGCCAGUAUUCUGGCGGGCAUGCCUGUUCGAGCGUCAUUUCAACCCUCAAGCCCCCGGGCUUGGUGUUGGGGAUCGGCGUGCCCUCGCGGCGCGCCGUCCCCUAAAUCUAGUGGCGGUCUCGCUGUAGCUUCCUCUGCGUAGUAGCAACACUCGCACUGGAUCGCAGCGCGGCCACGCCGUUAAACCCCCCACUUCUGAAAGUUUGACCUCGGAUCAGGUAGGAAUACCCGCUGAACUUAAGCAUAUCAAUAAGCGGAGAA
Molecule: unclassified non-coding RNA, 344 nt
Filed under: soil metagenome
Description: partial contains 5.8S ribosomal RNA, internal transcribed spacer 2, and large subunit ribosomal RNA
Rfam family: 5.8S ribosomal RNA (bases 1-120)
Source: RNAcentral